Molecule: ribosomal RNA, 373 nt
Filed under: uncultured bacterium
Lineage: Bacteria
Description: bacterial SSU rRNA
Rfam family: Bacterial small subunit ribosomal RNA
Source: RNAcentral
GUAGGGCGCGAGCGUUGUCCGGAAUUAUUGGGCGUAAAGAGCUCGUAGGCGGCUUGUCGCGUCGACUGUGAAAACCCGUGGCUCAACCAUGUGGUCUGCAGUCGAUACGGGCAGGCUAGAAUUCGGUAGGGGAGACUGGAAUUCCUGGUGUAGCGGUGAAAUGCGCAGAUAUCAGGAGGAACACCGGUGGCGAAGGCGGGUCUCUGGGCCGAUAUUGACGCUGAGGAGCGAAAGCGUGGGGAGCAAACAGGAUUAGAUACCCUGGUAGUCCACGCUGUAAACGUUGGGCGCUAGGUGUGGGGGACCUCUCCGGUUCUCUGUGCCGCAGCUAACGCAUUAAGCGCCCCGCCUGGGGAGUACGGCCGCAAGGCUA